This 336-nucleotide ribosomal RNA is filed under the name Triticum aestivum (bread wheat). RNAcentral's name for it is "partial small subunit ribosomal RNA". Lineage: Eukaryota; Viridiplantae; Streptophyta; Magnoliopsida; Poales; Poaceae. The record is from RNAcentral.
AUGAGGUGGGUAGUAGUAUAUUCCGGCGAAAUACACCGCCAACAGCAGCAGGAACGCGGCAACAACGAUGUUCUGGAUCAAGAGCAUGACCAGCACCAGCACCGUCGGCACCAGGACCACUUCCAUCCGGCUGCUAGGGAGGACGACCGCGAGCAGCAGGAACCAGAGGCGAGGAUGAAGAUGAGGGUAUUGUCGGUCACCGUCUCCUGCACGUCAGUCACCUGCACAUACCACUCCAUCAGGGUCUCAUUGCAGAUGACCCACCCAAAGGCCAGGACCACCAUGAGAGGUACCAUCGGAGACGGCACUGGCGAGGCACCUGGACUUCCCCGGUAG